GAGUUUGAUCAUGGCUCAGAUUGAACGCUGGCGGCAGGCCUAACACAUGCAAGUCGAGCGGAUGACGGGAGCUUGCUCCUUGAUUCAGCGGCGGACGGGUGAGUAAUGCCUAGGAAUCUGCCUGGUAGUGGGGGGACAACGUUUCGAAAGGAACGCUAAUACCGCAUACGUCCUACGGGAGAAAGCAGGGGACCUUCGGGCCUUGCGCUAUCAGAUGAGCCUAGGUCGGAUUAGCUAGUUGGUGGGGUAAUAGGCUCACCAAAGGCGACGAUCCGUAACUGGUCUGAGAGGAUGAUCAGUCACACUGGAACUGAGACACGGUCCAGACUCCUACGGGAGGCAGCAGU
This 347-nucleotide ribosomal RNA is filed under the name bacterium enrichment culture clone ALO1_GLFRUDD03G8EUR. RNAcentral describes it as "bacterial SSU rRNA". It matches the Rfam family "Bacterial small subunit ribosomal RNA", at positions 9 to 355 of the family's 1533-position model. The record is from RNAcentral.